Molecule: long non-coding RNA, 1816 nt
Organism: Equus asinus (donkey)
Lineage: Eukaryota; Metazoa; Chordata; Mammalia; Perissodactyla; Equidae
Source: Ensembl
UUCUUACCAACUUAGAUACGAGAACAAUUUCUUGACUUUUCCUUAGCGGGGGGAAAAGGCAGCUUUAGGGAAUCUGGACUGCCCUUUAGAGCCCAGUUUCUACCCAACUGAAAGUUAGGCCUGAUAGGGUUUGACCUGAAGAAAAGCAGAACACCUGAUCACGCAGACGCGAAUGCGGGACGCCUCACAACGCACGUGUUUCAACCAAGCUUCUCAAAACAAUAAUGAAGUGCGUUGGGCAGCUCUCUUAUUUCAUUUUAGAGUUGUUAAAAGAAUAUUGAAGUAAAACCAUGGAGAUGAGACUCGCUUGUAUAAGCAGGGAUUACACAGAGAUGAGUUAUUUAACAGUAUCUCCACUUCCAAGCGUCUGAAUGUGGGUCUUCAUCACUGAUCCCAAGUUAAAUUUGAUUGCCCUGUUAUCCUUUAUUUUCAAUAACAAAAAUCAUACCCCUUAGUAUGACAGCUGAGGCUGCCCUGGGAAUUCAGCGUUUUGCUGAGGAGAAGGAAAGCCUCAUAAGUGGGCUUGGUUAAGGUUUUUUUAAGGAACCACAGACCUUAUUUUCUUCUUAGCGCUUGGUGGUUCUGGGACUGGUGGGCCGUGCGGCCGAAUGUGCUGCAGCGGCUAAUUUAAAGUUCUGAGGGAGUUUAAACCAGCAUGCAUUUUUCAUCACAGACAGGUUAAAAGGUUUUUCAAGUAUCCUGCUUAUUCAUAGGCACCUGGGAUCCGGUAGGAUUGCAUAUCUGCCAGGACCUCGGCAAAUAUCACUCCCAAUUUGGCCCUGUAAAGGACAGCCCCAGAAAUUCUUUACACUUGUCCUACCUGGAAAUCGACUGCACAUUUUAUGGCAACUUUGGCUGUGAACUCUUCAUUUCAAGGCUCUACAUCUUUAUUUUAAUAUGCAUUGCCGUUCUUUAUUUGUGCGCCCAGGGAAUACUAAAUUCAAGGAGAAGGACAAGAGCUAAAUCUGGAUGCAUCCCAGUGGUAUUCAGGCUGACUUUGGUGAAGCCAGCUGCCAUGUUGUGAGCUGCCCUUUGGAGAAAACAGUGUGGUGAAGAACUGAGAUCCUGCCUACCAGUCCACAGAGAACUAAAUCCUGCCAACGACCACCAAGCAAGCCUGGAAGCAUAGCCCAUGCCAGCUGAACGUUGAGAUAGCUGCCGCUUUGGUGAACCCUUGACAAAAGCCUUGUGAGCCAGCCUGAGCUGCGGGACCCAGCUGGUUUGGUUCAGACUCCUGACUCACAGAAAUUGUGAGAUAAUACACGUGUGUUGUUUCAGGCAGCUAAGUUUUGUGGUAAUUUGUUGCCCUCCUAGAUAUUCUACAUCAUGUCAUUUUACAUUAUUUUCAAGCAAGCUCUUAUCAGUGUCUAAAAUGAUCUUAAUGUAUUUGUUGUUUAUUAUCUCUCCUACUCCAAGAUCUAAAUCUUGUAAGAGUUUAAUCUUAUCUUUCUUGUUCAUCUUCAGUUGCCCAGUGUCUAGAAGAGCACCCGGCAUGAAGUUACUGGUGCUCAGUCAUGAAUGAAUGAAUGAAUGAAUGAAUGAAUUUACUUAGAGUUUUCUUUCCAGGCCUUUGUAAUUGUCUCUCCCUAAAAUAGAGAAAUGUCUUAGGGCAAAGGCAUUUGCUUUUUCUCUUUAUCUCUACCUACAGAAGGAUAAUUUCUCAAUUAUUUUUUAACCUGCUGCUAAUCUUCUUUCUAACAGCUUUUUCAUUAUUAACUUCUCCAUGUCCAAAGGUCUUCAUAAACAAUAUUCCUGUCAUUUUCAUUUUGCAUAAAAUUAGGUAAACACAAAAAAGCUGAUUUUUUGACAUAUGGUA